GGAUGCGAUCAUACCAUCACUAAAGCACCGGAUCCCAUCAGAACUCCAAAGUUAAGCGUGCUUGGGAGAGAGUAGUACUAGGAUGGGUGACCUCCUGGGAAGUCCUGCUGCUGCAUUCC
RNAcentral lists this ribosomal RNA (119 nucleotides) under Triticum aestivum (bread wheat). RNAcentral also lists the same sequence under 1 other name. Lineage: Eukaryota; Viridiplantae; Streptophyta; Magnoliopsida; Poales; Poaceae. The record is from RNAcentral.